This 72-nucleotide transfer RNA is filed under the name Marmota monax (woodchuck). RNAcentral's name for it is "tRNA.Val". Lineage: Eukaryota; Metazoa; Chordata; Mammalia; Rodentia; Sciuridae. The record is from RNAcentral.
UGGGUUGUGACUCAAAGGUAGAGCUGCUGUCUCACAUGCAGGGGGCACUGGGUUCAAUCCUCAGCACCACAU